This 254-nucleotide ribosomal RNA is filed under the name uncultured bacterium. RNAcentral's name for it is "partial 16S ribosomal RNA". It matches the Rfam family "Bacterial small subunit ribosomal RNA", at positions 524 to 776 of the family's 1533-position model. The record is from RNAcentral.
CACGUAGGGGGCAAGCGUUGUCCGGAUCUAUUGGGCGUAAAGAGCUCGUAGGUGGUUCGGUAAGUCGGGUGUUAAACCCCCAGGCUCAACCUGGGGACGCCACUCGAUACUGCUGUGACUAGAGUCCGGUAGGGGAGCGUGGAAUUCCUGGUGUAGCGGUGAAAUGCGCAGAUAUCAGGAGGAACACCAGCGGCGAAGGCGGCGCUCUGGGCCGGUACUGACACUGAGGAGCGAAAGCGUGGGUAGCAAACAGG